Molecule: ribosomal RNA, 432 nt
Filed under: uncultured bacterium
Lineage: Bacteria
Description: partial 16S ribosomal RNA
Rfam family: Bacterial small subunit ribosomal RNA
Source: RNAcentral
AACGAACGCUGGCGGCAUGCCUAACACAUGCAAGUCGAACGAGACCUUCGGGUCUAGUGGCUCACGGGUGCGUAACGCGUGGGAACCUGCCCUUAGGUUCGGAAUAACUCCCCGACAGGGGUGCUAAUACCGGAUAAUUUCUUCGGACCAAAGAUUUAUCGCCUUUGGGUGGGCCCGCGUUGGAUUAGCUAGUUGGUAGGGUAAAAGCCUACCAAGGCGACGAUCCAUAGCUGGUCUGAGAGGAUGAUCAGCCACACUGGGACUGAGACACGGCCCAGACUCCUACGGGAGGCAGCAGUGGGGAAUAUUGGACAACGGGCGAAAGCCUGAUCCAGCAAUGCCGCGUGAGUGAUGAAGGCCUUAGGGUUGUAAAGCUCUUUUACCCGGGAUGAUAAGGACAGUACCGGGAGAAUAAGCUCCGGCUAACUCCGU